UGACUGUGAACAAGCCAUGAUUAUGAUAGCCUAACAAGCUAAUUAAGGUCUGAGACCUUGGUAAAAGUUAUCUCAGAGCUCAAAUCUCUUAGGAUGCUAAAACUUUUGCAUGGUCCUCCUUUCUGUUGUAGAAAGCAAAACGAAUGCACUAAUCUUACUUAAAAUGUGGAAAAAAAUGUUUCAUCUUUAACUUUUGGAGAUCUUCUUUUCAUCUUCUAAUCACUUAAAGCAACAUUAUGGUACAAUUUUACCUUAAAAUAACAGCUUCAUUUUGAACACUGACAUCUGUGUCAUUGCCACUCCGCACCCGGUACGCCUGGUAACUUUGGUGGACUGUCCACAAGAACUCUCAUGAGAAAAAUGAUGUAAUGCUUUACGGCAUGACAUCACGAACUAACAACUGUGGGCCAGCAAUAAGAAGAAGCUAGCUCAAUAAUAUUGUUAUAACAUUGUUAUUUUGUUUGUGGUUAGCUGAUACAUUACAUAUGACAAGAUUCUUACAGAAAGAACCACAUACAUCGUUAGCAUUGCAUAAAUAUACUUUGCAAACUGUUAAUGCUGUCCUGCCGUUAGCUGUAGUGAUCCGUGUCUGUGCUAAUGGGAAAACAACGACAGUCUGACAGCAGAGUGGACAUCCCUGCAAAUGUUAUUUAUGAAAGAUUGAGAUAGAGGCUGUAACCUUAUUGGUGUCUCUCAGACAUUUGUCAUCUUUCUGGAUGCCAAAACUCGUCUCAGUCUAGUCUAGUCUCGUCUCGUCUCAGGCUAACAUGCAAAAUAAAUUAAUAAAUCUAAUGCCAAAAAGUUUGGUCAGUCCUUAUCACAUAUCACAUGUUGUAAAAGUGGAUUACACUCUACAACGGUAGGUGGAGCCCAAUACCAAUUCUUGCAUAAUGGGGCUUUAACUAGUCCCAGUAACAGACAUUUUGACCAGGGGUGCCCAAACCUUUCCAUGUCACUGUAUAUCCUCACAGAUAUCAUUUUGAGUUAUUACUGAGAAUUGAAGAAAUUUUAAGUAAACAGCUUGUUUACAUAGAUUUGUUUGGACGUUGUCUGUAAAUACUAAACUAAACCAUGCUGUUUUAAUAUAUGUAAAUGAAACAGAGUGCAGGCAAUAUCACUCUGCUCAAUGUGUUUCUGUACUUGACAUACUGUUGUAAAUGUACUAACAGGCAGGUCCUCCUCGCAUGGUGAAAUGUUAUGGUGAUUUAUAUGUAUUUGGCCCUCACAGUGGCAGAGAAGACCACAGACAAGGGGUGAACAGCAAUCACCAUCCACAAUAGCAAACGGAUACAUGAAGCAACCGAGGGAGGAGGAGCCAGAAACACACUCUAAUAAGAGGCUACGCUCGUAAAGAAACACUUCAAGCUGCUGCAUGUUUCAAGAACCACACAUAUAAUUUGGCAAUAAGGAAGAAGGAGACUUCGCUGGGUCUUAUUACAGCUGAAGGCAAAAGCACAUAUUGUUGACUGCAUGUUGCCUAAUAAAAAAGGGUUUGAGUUUGUAUAACAAAUAUUUUAUCAUAUUGUAGCCAUCGUAUUUUAAUCAGAGGGUCUGUUAACAUAAGUUAGAGUUGUGUGAAUGAUGAACGACAAGAUGUAUAUGUGUGGGGAAGUAAAGACAUGGCUGUGAAAACAAA
Clupea harengus (Atlantic herring) is the source of this 1636-nucleotide RNA transcript. RefSeq lists it as uncharacterized. The transcript is spliced from 2 exons. The record is from RefSeq and is a predicted model, not a curated record. NCBI's taxonomy places the organism in Eukaryota, Metazoa, Chordata, Actinopteri, Clupeiformes, Clupeidae.